GUUGCAUGCAGACGGGAUGGAAUAUCAAUAACAAAGUCUCCAAAUUCAUCAGUGACUCCAUGUACCCAAUCAGAAGAUUUGCUAUUUUUUCCAGUGUUGUGGCAAUUCACACCCACCAUAGCACCUGCAGUGAUUGAUUUGGCCAUGCAUGAACUUGAGGUUCGUCACCAUGCAAACAAGCUUCACAAAGAACAGAGCCCGUGACCAAAACAGUGGACAGUCUCUCCUCACCAUAUCCAGCUAUCUCCCUCCAAUGGUCUCGAUUCAAAAGAUCAGAUACUGGGGUCUCGUCUUCAGCAGAUUCGAUUACCAUCGGGAAUCCAUGGCCAAUAAGGUAGAAGAAGAAGAUACAAAGCCAAAAUAGGUUGACAGAACAGUGGAAGCUCCAAACUCUGUUCAUCAUCUUCUUGGUUUGGUUUUAGGAAAAUGAAACUUUAUCAAUAUGAUUACACAAAUCAACCUGACACCACUUCUUGAUACAUACUCAUAGGUUUAUAUAAUGUGUAUCGAAAGAGAUGACUUGCAGUUUCUGUACAUGUCAAAAUUACAGAAAUGCCCUUUCUGGGUUUGACAUUGACUCGGCAA
Long non-coding RNA from Cucumis melo (muskmelon), 585 nucleotides. RefSeq lists it as uncharacterized. The record is from RefSeq and is a predicted model, not a curated record. The transcript has 2 exons. NCBI's taxonomy places the organism in Eukaryota, Viridiplantae, Streptophyta, Magnoliopsida, Cucurbitales, Cucurbitaceae.